Molecule: RNA transcript, 1480 nt
Organism: Eutrema salsugineum
Lineage: Eukaryota; Viridiplantae; Streptophyta; Magnoliopsida; Brassicales; Brassicaceae
Gene name: ribulose-phosphate 3-epimerase, chloroplastic
Exons: 10
Source: RefSeq, a predicted model, not a curated record
CAACCAUUUGAGAUAAGCUGCUUUGGAUCAGAAGAAGAAGAAGAAGGCGUUGCCCACGAGACCGUAAACACACGUGGCGGAUAUUCAGAUUUUCUCCCUUUUUUCUUUUUCCCGGAAAAAAAGAGAAUUUCUUGUUGGUUUAAUUGAGAGGGAGAGAUUGUUUGAGAGACGAAGGAAGAAGAAGAAGAGGGAAGAGGAGGAAAUAAGAAAGAUAGAACGAUCGGGGUUUCUCUCACUAACCUAACCCACCAACUCUUUCGCGAUUCUAGUGAGAGAAACUUGAAUCUCUCUUGAAGAAUAAUAGAAUCUAGGAUUCGGACAUGUCGAGCUCAGCCGCUUCGUUGUGUUGUUCAUCAACCCAGGUCAAUGGAUUUGGUCUUAGGCCUCAAAGGUCGCUUCUUUACCAACCCAAUUUGUUUACUUUCUCCAGAAGGAAAACUCAUGGUGUUGUGAAGGCCUCAGCUCGGGUUGAUAAGUUCUCGAAAAGUGAUAUCAUUGUUUCUCCCUCGAUUCUCUCGGCUAAUUUCGCCAAAUUAGGCGAGCAGGUAAAAGCAGUGGAGCUGGCUGGCUGUGAUUGGAUCCAUGUCGAUGUGAUGGAUGGUCGUUUUGUUCCCAACAUCACCAUUGGACCUCUCGUGGUUGAUGCUUUGCGCCCUGUUACAGAUCUUCCGUUGGAUGUUCAUCUUAUGAUAGUGGAACCGGAUCAGAGAGUACCGGAUUUUAUCAAAGCAGGGGCAGAUAUAGUCAGUGUUCAUUGUGAGCAGUCGUCGACCAUCCAUUUGCAUCGCACCGUAAAUCAAAUAAAAAGCUUAGGGGCUAAAGCUGGAGUUGUCCUAAACCCUGGAACCCCACUGAGUGCAAUAGAAUAUGUCUUGGAUGUGGUGGAUCUGGUCUUGAUAAUGUCAGUCAACCCUGGGUUUGGUGGACAGAGCUUUAUCGAAAGCCAAGUAAAGAAAAUCUCGGAUCUGAGAAAAAUGUGUGCAGAAAAGGGAGUAAACCCAUGGAUUGAAGUUGAUGGUGGUGUCACUCCAAAGAAUGCAUACAAGGUUAUUGAGGCUGGAGCAAAUGCUCUAGUAGCUGGAUCAGCUGUGUUUGGAGCUAAAGACUACGCAGAAGCUAUAAAAGGAAUCAAGAACAGCAAGAAGCCAGAAGCUGUGGCUGUGUAAUGUGAAGCAACAAGCUAAAAGACUCUGUUAAUCUUAGGUUGGUGAUUUCGCCGUAUCUGAAUAUCCAUGAAAAGCUAAAAAUGUCAAAGACGACCACCAAGAUGUUGUUUCCAUUCACCAGAUUACAUUCGCCACAAAAUCCACAAGAAUCAAAACAGUUUCAAAGUAGAUCAUUUAUUAUACUCUUCUGUACCAUUGUCUUGUAGAUUGUGGAUAUGCAGAUUUCAUACAUUUGCAAUGAACCACUGUAAUAAGAAAUAAGCUGUUACAUAUGUAUUUUUUACUGUGGGAAAGUAAAGUAUUUUCAUUCGUCU